RNAcentral lists this ribosomal RNA (450 nucleotides) under uncultured bacterium. RNAcentral's name for it is "partial 16S ribosomal RNA". It matches the Rfam family "Bacterial small subunit ribosomal RNA", at positions 354 to 796 of the family's 1533-position model. The record is from RNAcentral.
GUGGGGAAUUUUGGACAAUGGACGCAAGUCUGAUCCAGCAAUGCCGCGUGCAGGACGAAGGCCUUCGGGUUGUAAACUGCUUUUGUACAGAACGAAAGGGCUCUGGUUAAUACCUGGGGCAGAUGACGGUACUGUAAGAAUAAGCACCGGCUAACUACGUGCCAGCAGCCGCGGUAAUACGUAGGGUGCGAGCGUUAAUCGGAAUUACUGGGCGUAAAGCGUGCGCAGGCGGUUUUGUAAGACCGAUGUGAAAUCCCCGGGCUCAACCUGGGAACUGCAUUGGUGACUGCAAGGCUGGAGUGCGGCAGAGGGGGAUGGAAUUCCGCGUGUAGCAGUGAAAUGCGUAGAUAUGCGGAGGAACACCGAUGGCGAAGGCAAUCCCCUGGGCCUGCACUGACGCUCAUGCACGAAAGCGUGGGGAGCAAACAGGAUUAGAUACCCUGGUAGUCC